This is a non-coding RNA of Podarcis lilfordi (Lilford's wall lizard), 138 nucleotides long. NCBI's taxonomy places the organism in Eukaryota, Metazoa, Chordata, Lepidosauria, Squamata, Lacertidae. The record is from the annotation of a GenBank genome assembly.
UGUCCAGUAGCACCUUAGAGACCAACUAAGUUCAUUCUUGGUAUAAGCUUUCGUGUGCAUGCACACUUCUUCAGAUACAUGCACACGAACACUUAUGCCAAGAACAAACUUAGUUGGUCUCUAAGGUGCUACUGGACA